CAAACGCUGGGGGUGAAGUGGAGAACAAGUGAGAACAGCAAAGGAGACGUCCAGGCCUUCUUGGUUUCUGCCUUUCCUAAGGGUUGUGUGCGCAGGGAGGCAGCCCCCCUCUUUAUAUCUCUUUCUAGUUGCUAUCUGUUGUAGAGUUUGGUUUGCGAGGUUGAAUAACAGACUAGUAGCUGUUAUUACCGUUAUCCUGUGGGGUUUGUAUCCCUUUCCGGUAGUAGCAGUCCCUAAUGUUCCCAGUCGUCUUUGCCUCUGGCACUUGCCUGGCACACUCGGUACUGUAAUGUCUAAGACUGGGAACAUCCCAAGACGUUUUUUUUAAGGCACCUGGCAAAUGUUACAUGGGGUGUGAGCUAAUGUGUUCUAUUGUGAUCUAGUCACGAGGUCAUCAAACACUUGCCGUGGCAACCGCAUUCCACAGUAUAGUGGUGGGUCACAGCUUGGAGGUGGGGGUGGGGGGGGUGGUCCGUGAGCAGGGGAAACCCCCUGGGAGAAAUAAAAUCCUGUUUCUCUAACUCUUAUUUAUAUCCAAGCUCAGCUGUGGGUCAAUCUGUGGUAGCAGCAAUUAGAAGUGAAGGUGCAGAGGGCACCUUCCCCACUGAAAUUCAAAAGUUAAUUUGGGAUAAUGCAACUACAUUUGAAAAAGAAUUCAAUCUUGGUGGUAUCUAGUCAAUUUUACUUACAUUGCUGAUUAAAUUAUUAAAUUGUUCUUAUCUCGACCCUCGACUUUGAACAUUCCUUUCCAAUUCUCCUCCCCACCCCUCUGGGUGGUGGGCAGUCAACAAGCAGCUGUGUGGUGCUUGGUUGCCGGCUGGGAUUAAACCCCAACAUUUUGGUACAUCAUAAAACAAAAACCCCAGCUUCAGCCACCCAAACCACACAAAUGAGCACAUCACAAAUAGCUCUGCUCGACUAUCUACUUACUGUGGACCUGUAAGCGUGUAAAUGACCAGUAUCCUAGUUAUGGCACAGAGGCAAGAGGUGAGCAUGCCACCACUCUGUGAGGGUAAGAGGAACUGACUGUCAUCUUGGGGUGGAGGGUGGUGAUGUGCUCCCCCUGUCGCCAGUCGUCCCCCCCCCCCCCCCCCCCCGCAUUCUAACCUGUGUUGCAUCACAAUGCUCAAGUGAUGACCACCAGUGGUGGCGGUGACGGGCGGCUCUGGUCCUGGCUCACAGUGCGUUCCGGGAGACAGAUAAGAGCCCGACAGCCAAGGGCUAGUUUGAACAACGUGCCCACCUGGCAGUGCUGGCCACGGUCUGACUCAGGCCAAGCCUGGAAGAGGCUGACUUCUGUAGGCGGUGUGCAGAUGUGACUGUGAGGUAAUUCUCUGACUCUGUUAAUCUUGGACGGCCCAGGGCCCGUUGAGCUCUGCCGUGCAGCACCAGCUGGCACAGCUCUCGCCUUGAGUAGGGAUGCCUCUCUAGGCUAUAUGCAGCAUUUUAUCUCUGUUUUGCUUGUUUCUGAAGGGAAAACCUUCAUUUGGGAACGCUGAGCACCGUAUGAAAAGACCUGAGGCUUGAAAUCCACAGCAAAGGCACGUAGUGCUGACCUGCACCCAGUUCCUCGCAGCAGGAUGUUGUGCCAGGAGAGGGCAAGAACGUGGGCAGCAACGGGGCCUGCGCCUGUGGGUGUUGAUGGAGCCAGCGGCUCGGGCGAUCACAAGUCGAGCAGGGUGUUGCACGUGGUAAGAGAGGCGCAUCCUCUCGCAGCACGUCUUGCUGACCUACUGAAUUGUGUUUUCCCAUCAGCACGGUCGGCACAUUGUCCUUGUUUCACUGUUCACUGAAAGCCAUUCCCACAGGUUACCGAGGAGCUGGACUGUAAAGCCAAGGAAUCGGGAGCAGGUACAGCCACAGGCAGACAGAGUAUGGUUCUUAAGUAGCUUGCACAAUGGCAUAAUUUACUGUCUCCGCUGGGCUCUUGUGAGCGUCAGCAAAGGGAUUCAGCAAAGCCUUCAGAUUCUCACUGUGUCCCUGCCGCUGAGACUUCAAGAGCCACUGUCCCCUGUUCUCUUUGCAGCUGCAGUGCCACUGGGAGCAGUGGGUUUGGAGGGCAGGCUCCCAGGGAGGUGGGAAGAGGGGAGAGCUUCCAGCCAGGGCUCCGCCGUGGGUGGGAUGCGACAAGGGUGGGGAAGAGUGUGACAAGGGAAUCGGGGAGGCAGAAGCCCUGCAAAGAGCCAGGUUUCUGCAGGUGGGUGGUUUGUUUUCAUUCUAGCGCUUUGGCUGAUUAAGGGCGGGACUCUGAGCUGAGAGGCUUGGCUAAAAGGCCAGAGCAGUGCACCUGCAGGAGCACAUCACAAGACUGGCUCCCAGUGUGCUGGGAGGGCUUGGGUUAUCGGCAACCUGACUGCUUUGCAGCUGAGCGUCUCCUUGGUGCGCGAAGUCAGUGGUGGCAAGAUUCAAAAUGGGCAUGUCUGUAGGAGAAGGCCUCAAGGGCAAGAGUCCAAGUACUGAUAGCCUGAUGAAUAGAGACUCGUUAGAACUUGUAGGGCACAAGCCCUGGGAACAAAGGAACAAGCUAACUGCAGACCCCUGAGCCGUUACAGUUGAGGAGGCAACCAGACGGACAGAGAAACGAGUAGCCAGAUAAGGGAACGGAGAGCGCCGAUAUGUACCUUUGUUAAUCAAGAAAGCCGCCCAUAAGGAAACCCCCUAAUUUUGGAAUAGAAAUUGUUGCUAUGUCAAGGUAAACUAGUAAGUUCCUAUUGUUUUAACGGUGUGCCUUAAAUAUCAACCAAUCAGUGUUUUUUACGCUUAAGAUUUAAGCAAUCAGUGUGUAAUAUGUAGAAGGUAGAAACGUAUAUAAUUGUAAGACAAUCACUAAUAAACCGACAACUUGCUUGCAUCAAGCUGCGUCCCGUCUCUUCAUUCGCCGCACAUGUCGGUCUUUUCACUCCCUUUUUUUGAGGCUCUGCAAAUGAGAACAGAGCGCUACGGUGAGCUACUAAAGAAAGAAGACCUACAUCUGUCUGUCUUCAGAUUCCCCAGAUGUUCUCAGUGAGCUGGGUGAGAAGAAAGCCUAUGGGACUGGAGGACUGCUGGGUCACAAUCACCACAAGUGUUUGAGAUCAUCCUGGCGUACCUGGAGAAGAAAGACUGGAAGGACGCCUCGUCAGUGUCUUGCCACAGCGGAAAGGGGCUGUUGCGUUGGGAGAGGCCGAUGAUUCGUCCAAGCGUGCUCUGUCUGGAAAAGAAGAUGGAGACGAUGACUCGGACAGCGACUAGGCUUCACAAUGAGACGAUGGGAAAGAUGGGACACGUAGUCCGUGGGAUGAAGUUUGGACGUGAAGUGGUUCCGCUCCAAAGACCAUCUGCUGCCCUUGUGACACCGGAUUGUCCCAAUGCUCGAUAGUUCCGUAGCUGGCCCAGAGCUGUUCCUGGACAUGAAGGGCAAAGAUAAAUGUGGGUUUUUUACCCUGAAGCUUCCGUAUUAAUAGCUUAUUUUUGUAAAAAAUAAAGUAAUGGCAAAUGUAGAAUUUAUUUUGUUUCCCAAGGAAGCGAUUGCAUUCCUUUUUUUUUUUUUUUUACAAUUCUUUUAAAUGUGACUUUUUCUACAUACCAAGUUGGGCACGUUACCCAAGAGCAUUAGUAGAUGCUAUUUGAAUGGAUGCCGCCUUCUCUGUUCCUGCCCUAAGUUUUCUUGAAAGCGGUGAAUGGUGACCUCACAACCUGUUCCGCUAGUGCCGUUGCCAAGUGUGCAUGAACACUCGGCACAAACAAGCAGAAAUUCUAAUUUUCCUGAGCUCCUCAACAGACAAUCACCAGCAACCAAACUGCCUUCAUCAGCUGAGCCACGCUGACUUGUAUACCAUGCGCAGAUAGCUGGGGUCGGUAGAUGAGCUACGAGCGUGGGGUUACGCCAAUGCUUUAGACUUCAGCUUGAGCAGGAUGGACGUCUGCGCAAGCGCGAAUCACGUGCCUUGGUUGGCACAUGGUGCGCAUGGAGUUGAGGCGUCACGAUCGCUUUUGGUUACUUCUCGGUCCUCCUAGCAAAAUUGAUCACGGAGCCUCAGAACAGUACCAGGAGACAGGAGCUCUCUCUUUCAAGUCACUUACUGAGUUUCAGUAGGUCUGAUUUAUGACAUGAUCCUGCGUGCAUUGUUUUCUCUGUCAAAUAUUUUUCCUUUACAAAAAGAGGCAUAGUCUCAGUUUUGGCUGGAUGUUCUGGUUCCACUCAUUUCUAACUGACUGAAGUGCUCUUGCAAAGGACGGAAACGGAGACCGUGGAAGCGUGGCUUCGCUUCAGGCUUGUGAGCCUGCCCCAUCCCUUUCUCCUGUAGGGACUAGCCAGGUAACUGCAGCUUCUGAGCAAGUACAGCUUCCGCGCGGGUCAGCUGAAGAGCGUAAGAAGACGUCAUCGUAACUGUUGUUCUGAGCUGAGCUGGAAUCAGGGGGCUGACCCAGGCAUGGCUUGGCUUGUAUCCAUUUUCAUUCCUCCCUCUGUUGUUACUGCUUUCAAACGGAGAGUAGAAGUGGGAUCCCCACAGGCCUGUAAAGGGUUGGCAACCAACAGGUUGUGGCUUUCUACAGUCGGAGGCUCUGAAAACUUGGCCAUAUUCAGUCAUCACGAUCCAGUGCAUAACUCCUGCUUACUUCUGCGUUCGCUGUGCACUCCAAAGAGUUCACGUAUUUCUCGAGUGGGCCAGCUCUGCAGUGAUAAGAUUACGUCUCGGGAGAAGGAUAGAAAGAAGUACUUGCAGAAGAAGCUUAGUUUGCAAGCUGAGGACUUCACGGAGCAUUUAGCAAUAGUUGACAUGGAUGUGUGACUGUUGAAGUCAGGCUACUACCCGAACCUUCUCAGUAACAGCAGACACAUCCUAAAGACUAGAGACUCCCAGCUUUUUGGGGUAGGGACAAGCAAUAGUUCAGAAGCUGGGACAUCUAAUUUUAUCAGAGGACACAGAAACGUCGCUGCCUCACAGAGCAGCCUUGAGAGUUACUCUGCCGCUGCUGCACCCUGACGUGAUUGUAAGAAUCUGCUUCAGCUUCUCGUGCUAGUGAAUCCAGGCCUCUAAUAAGGCAGGCAGGUGGGAUCAAGGAUAACGUAACACAAACAGCUUUAAUGCUUAUCUUGAGUCACACGUUGAACAUAACCUUGUUCUUCUCUUUAUUACUAGGAUGGGUGAAGUGCCCUUGAGAGAGCUUUGUUGUCAGACGUCUAGCAAAUACAGUCACGGGUGCUUUGGAAAGGGAAAUGGGUGAGAAGGUGCAAUUGAUUGUAACUAUCCUUGCAAACUAUUGCCCUUCUGGCUCUUACCACGUUUGUUCCAUGACCUGUCAGCUUCAAAGUUCAUGGAGGGAAUGCAACCGUGCUGUUGAAAGACUACAUUAAUGUGGUUGCUUUAGUUUUGGUUCUGUUCAGUAGUGAUCCUGUGAGGCCUCUGCGAUGUAAUUAAGGUUUUCAGGCUCAGCUGCUGCAGCAUGGUGCUGAGGGACAGCUGGUAGGAAACACUCAGGACAGAGAUUUGAAUGGGAUUAAGACAGUCAUGAGUACAGCCCAAAAGCAUGUGGUCAAGUUCAAGUGUGGCCCGUUCAACAAGUCAUUACCACAGCCCUGUCAGUGUGUGGUCACUUAACCCUGCUGUCUGGUUUCCAGCUGACUUUGUAGUGUUUACACCUAAGACACCAGGGAAGUUGCAAAGCACUGCCAGCUCCUGUCCUGCUAGAAGCUCCGUCCCCAUUUACUGCAGACGGCAGACUCCUACUCUUGUGCAGCUGUACAGAAAUUACAUAUCUCGGAAAAUGUUCCCCAUUUACAUGGCUUUGUGCGAAUGAGUUUCUGCCUCUGUGGUCUGAGUUGGCAGGCAGACCUGAGUAAUGCCCACUCUGUGUGACUGGCCUUUGGCCAGCCAUUCAUAAAAACUCUGUUUCCUGAAUGUGCGGCCACACGUUCCUUCAGCCUUACCAGCCUGCUCCGCUGGGGGCUCUAGCACAGCUGGGCACGUGCAGCAGUGAGUGAGCAGCACGAGAAAGCCGAGCUGAGGUAGGCCACCGGGUCUUGGCAUACUCCUCUCCUGCAGCGGGAGAUGGGAAUGGAGGUGGUAGUUGUGACUAUAGUAGGCAUGAUUUGAAGGCAGGGGCCCUUGGAAAGAGAACACUGAGCUCUGCGCUGAGCUAAGCUCCUCCUUCUUUAACGCUGUGCUGCCAGGGUUUCUCUCCUUCCCCGCAAACGGCCAGAUGCCUUGAGUGAGCUUGUCUGCACCGAAUCAUCUGAGUCUGGAAAACAGAUGGGAGUAGGGUUGACUUGUCACCUUGUCUUGUUUUUGUGAGAUUUAAUUGGCAGAGGUAUCUUUUAGAUGGGUAAGCCCCAGUUCUUCCGCUUUCACAGUCCACUCACAGGGCCUGAAAAAGGGCCAGAUGCAUUUCUGUCCUUGUUGGCUGUAUUUCAACGGCUCGAGGUUUGCACGGUGCAUUGGAAGGCUGGUUUUGGUCUCAUCCUGUCUCGUCCGUGUCUCCCCCCUCCGCAUUGGAUGCUACAGUGUGUGCUGCUUCUCUGCCAGUCGUGAGAGCUGUGAAAGCAAAUUCCAGCUUGCUGUGAGGCAGACGACUGCAGUCAUUGUGCAGGCCACAUGUGGCAAGUCCAGGGUCUUUCUUUUUCUUUUUUUUUUUUUCUUUUCUUCCCCAGUGCCUAGGGCUUGGUGUGCAUCUCUGCAGACAGGGUGUGCGUGCCCCUCUUCCUACCCCAGUAUGUCUGUGACUGCAGAGCCAAGCCUACACACAAGAGCUCUUUGUGCAGGCCUGGCUGAGUCACGCAAACAGAUGACCCUGAUGCCAAAAGGCGUUGCCUCUGUCCCUCUUUUCAUUUAGCUCGCGUCUCAUGUACCUGUGCAGCAUGGUUGGGUUGAAUGACUUGAGGACAAAAUACAAUGAACAUCAAAUUGUUUUAUUAGGAAGUCUGAACGCCUGUCUUUAUAAUCUAAGUGCUCAGGUCACAUAUUUCUGUAUGUGAAGGUGGCUGGGAGAUGCUUCAGCGGCUGUGAAUAGGGGAGGCCUCCGCUGGAAAAGGGAUAUCCGUGGUUUGGGGGCGG
Long non-coding RNA from Falco peregrinus (peregrine falcon), 7034 nucleotides. RefSeq lists it as uncharacterized. The transcript has 3 exons. The record is from RefSeq and is a predicted model, not a curated record. Lineage: Eukaryota; Metazoa; Chordata; Aves; Falconiformes; Falconidae.